UAUCUAAAAUUCAAAACUUAUAUUAUUCAUUAUUACAAUUAAUCAAUUAUCCAAAGAAAGUCGAAAGCAUUGUCUGUAAUAGAUAUUGAAAAAUCAAGAAUGAAAAUUGAACAGCGGGAUCUCUAGAACAAGGAAACAAGGAAGGGAAUACAGGGACUCAGUGACUCACUGCCACAGCGAAAAAAUCGAGCAGCCACUGGAGGCAUGACGGUAACAAAAUCGACGAGAAAAAGGCAAGGAAGGCGAAGAGAAGGUGAAAACAGAUCCAGGCGAUGCGAUGGAAUGGCUGGGCCGAUCUUCAUAUGUUGGCUGUUUGGGAGGGCAACGUGCUUUUGGUCCUGAAGAUGACAGAAGGCCAGAACACAGAAACUCAAAAUUAAUUGAACAACAAAAACUCAAAAAGAUUGAAGAACAAAAUUCCUCAGUAGUCAGUACUCAUCGCGGUAGAGCACAGAAGGCCAGAGCCAGACGACGACGCUUCGGUGACGGUGACGACAACAAGCUGACGACCACGAUGACGCCAAGCCGACGACCAGACGACGCCAACGCUUCGGUGACGGUGACGGUGAGGUUUCGACCCGCGACGGCUUCGUUUGAUGGUGGCCUUUGUACUUCGUAGGAAGAAGGUUG
Molecule: long non-coding RNA, 630 nt
Filed under: Arachis ipaensis
Lineage: Eukaryota; Viridiplantae; Streptophyta; Magnoliopsida; Fabales; Fabaceae
Description: long non-coding RNA (AIPA_LNC001764)
Source: RNAcentral